AUUGAACGCUGGCGGCAUGCUUUACACAUGCAAGUCGGACGGCAGCACAGAGAAGCUUGCUUCUUGGGUGGCGAGUGGCGAACGGGUGAGUAAUAUAUCGGAACGUACCGAGUAAUGGGGGAUAACUAAUCGAAAGAUUAGCUAAUACCGCAUAUUCUCUGAGGAGGAAAGCAGGGGACCUUCGGACCUUGCGUUAUUCGAGCGGCCGAUAUCUGAUUAGCUAGUUGGUGGGGUAAAGGCCUACCAAGGCGACGAUCAGUAGCGGGUCUGAGAGGAUGAUCCGCCACACUGGGACUGAGACACGGCCCAGACUCCUACGGGAGGCAGCAGUGGGGAAUUUUGGACAAUGGGCGCAAGCCUGAUCCAGCCAUGCCGCGUGUCUGAAGAAGGCCUUCGGGUUGUAAAGGACUUUUGUCAGGGAAGAAAAGGCUGUUGCUAAUAUCAAUAGCUGAUGACGGUACCUGAAGAAUAAGCACCGGCUAACUACGUG
Molecule: ribosomal RNA, 490 nt
Filed under: uncultured bacterium
Lineage: Bacteria
Description: partial 16S ribosomal RNA
Rfam family: Bacterial small subunit ribosomal RNA
Source: RNAcentral